AACGAACGCUGGCGGCAUGCCUAACACAUGCAAGUCGAACGAGACCUUCGGGUCUAGUGGCGCACGGGUGCGUAACGCGUGGGAACCUGCCCUUAGGUUCGGAAUAACUCCCCGAAAGGGGUGCUAAUACCGGAUAAUGUCUUCGGACCAAAGAUUUAUCGCCUUUGGAUGGGCCCGGGUUGGAUUAGCUGGUUGGUAGGGUAAAAGCCUACCAAGGCGACGAUCCAUAGCUGGUCGGAGAGGAUGACCAGCCACACUGGGACUGCGACACGGCCCAGACUCCUACGGGAGGCAGCAGUGGGGAAUAUUGGACAAUGGGCGAAAGCCUGAUCCAGCAAUGCCGCGUGAGUGAUGAAGGCCUUAGGGUUGUAAAGCUCUUUUACCCGGGAUGAUAAUGACAGUACCGGGAGAAUAAGCACCGGCUAACUCCGUG
RNAcentral lists this ribosomal RNA (433 nucleotides) under uncultured bacterium. RNAcentral describes it as "partial 16S ribosomal RNA". It matches the Rfam family "Bacterial small subunit ribosomal RNA", at positions 29 to 507 of the family's 1533-position model. The record is from RNAcentral.